CAGAGUUGCAAAACUCCCAAACCCUUUGUGAACCUUACCUAUAACGUUGCUUCGGCAGGCCGCCCCAGGGCGGGGCUGUAGCCUUCACAGGCGCCUGCCGGAGGCCUUUAAACUCUGUUUUUAUUGAUACAUUUCUGAGUAAUAAAACAAAUUGAGUCA
Molecule: unclassified non-coding RNA, 159 nt
Filed under: uncultured Sordariomycetes
Lineage: Eukaryota; Fungi; Ascomycota; Sordariomycetes
Description: sequence contains ITS1
Source: RNAcentral